GAAACAUUGACUUUGAAAAAUUGUUCAACCAGUGAUGAUUUAUCCUCCGCUUGUCGCUUAUAUGUGGAUUGUCAAAAUGCAACAACUUCACUAGCAUUUCCAGAUGGUGGCUCUAAGAAGCUGCGUAGUUUAUACAUGAAUGUUAUUGUCUUUGGUGGGUCUUGGAAGUUGAAAAGCUAGCGCACUCUAAAAUUGAAAGGUUCUAAUAUUGAGAAGGUGCCAUCCUCUAUUGGCAAGUUGAAACAUUUGAGAUAUCUUGACGUCUCAAACACUAAAAUCAAAGUGUUGCCUGAAUCCAUCACCA
RNAcentral lists this unclassified non-coding RNA (304 nucleotides) under Hevea brasiliensis (rubber tree). The record is from RNAcentral. Lineage: Eukaryota; Viridiplantae; Streptophyta; Magnoliopsida; Malpighiales; Euphorbiaceae.